UGGGGAAUAUUGGACAAUGGGCGAAAGCCUGAUCCAGCAAUGCCGCGUGAGUGAUGAAGGCCUUAGGGUUGUAAAGCUCUUUUACCCGGGAUGAUAAUGACAGUACCGGGAGAAUAAGCCCCGGCUAACUCCGUGCCAGCAGCCGCGGUAAUACGGAGGGGGCUAGCGUUGUUCGGAAUUACUGGGCGUAAAGCGCACGUAGGCGGCUAUUCAAGUCAGAGGUGAAAGCCUGGAGCUCAACUCCAGAACUGCCUUUGAAACUAGAUAGCUAGAAUCAUGGAGAGGCGGGUGGAAUUCCGAGUGUAGAGGUGAAAUUCGUAGAUAUUCGGAAGAACACCAGUGGCGAAGGCGGCCCGCUGGACAUGUAUUGACGCUGAGGUGCGAAAGCGUGGGGAGCAAACA
Molecule: ribosomal RNA, 402 nt
Filed under: uncultured bacterium
Lineage: Bacteria
Description: partial 16S ribosomal RNA
Rfam family: Bacterial small subunit ribosomal RNA
Source: RNAcentral